This 506-nucleotide ribosomal RNA is filed under the name uncultured bacterium. RNAcentral describes it as "partial 16S ribosomal RNA". It matches the Rfam family "Bacterial small subunit ribosomal RNA", at positions 28 to 523 of the family's 1533-position model. The record is from RNAcentral.
GAUGAACGCUAGCUACAGGCUUAACACAUGCAAGUCGAGGGGUAACGAGAGGAAAGCUUGCUUUCCUUGUCGACGUCCGGCGCACGGGUGAGUAACGCGUAUCCAACCUGCCCCUAACUAAGGAAUAACCUUGCGAAAGUAAGACUAAUACCUUAUAAUUUCCUCAGAUGUCAUCUGACGAGGAAUAAAGAUUUAUCGGUUGUGGAUGGGGAUGCGUCUGAUUAGCUUGUUGGCGGGGUAACGGCCCACCAAGGCAACGAUCAGUAGGGGUUCUGAGAGGAAGGUCCCCCACAUUGGAACUGAGACACGGUCCAAACUCCUACGGGAGGCAGCAGUGAGGAAUAUUGGUCAAUGGGCGGAAGCCUGAACCAGCCAAGUAGCGUGCAGGAUGACGGCCCUAUGGGUUGUAAACUGCUUUUAUACAGGAAUAAAGUUAGCCACGUGUGGUUAUUUGUAGGUACUGUAUGAAUAAGGACCGGCUAAUUCCGUGCCAGCCGCCGCAGUAA